Molecule: ribosomal RNA, 498 nt
Filed under: Penicillium sp. CJL-2014
Lineage: Eukaryota; Fungi; Ascomycota; Eurotiomycetes; Eurotiales; Aspergillaceae
Description: eukaryotic LSU rRNA
Rfam family: 5.8S ribosomal RNA (bases 141-293)
Source: RNAcentral
GUGUUUAUUUACCUUGUUGCUUCGGCGGGCCCGCCUUAACUGGCCGCCGGGGGGCUCACGCCCCCGGGCCCGCGCCCGCCGAAGACACCCUCGAACUCUGUCUGAAGAUUGUAGUCUGAGUGAAAAUAUAAAUUAUUUAAAACUUUCAACAACGGAUCUCUUGGUUCCGGCAUCGAUGAAGAACGCAGCGAAAUGCGAUACGUAAUGUGAAUUGCAAAUUCAGUGAAUCAUCGAGUCUUUGAACGCACAUUGCGCCCCCUGGUAUUCCGGGGGGCAUGCCUGUCCGAGCGUCAUUGCUGCCCUCAAGCACGGCUUGUGUGUUGGGCCCCGUCCUCCGAUUCCGGGGGACGGGCCCGAAAGGCAGCGGCGGCACCGCGUCCGGUCCUCGAGCGUAUGGGGCUUUGUCACCCGCUCUGUAGGCCCGGCCGGCGCUUGCCGAUCAACCCAAAUUUUUAUCCAGGUUGACCUCGGAUCAGGUAGGGAUACCCGCUGAACUUA